RNAcentral lists this ribosomal RNA (834 nucleotides) under uncultured bacterium. RNAcentral describes it as "bacterial SSU rRNA". It matches the Rfam family "Bacterial small subunit ribosomal RNA", at positions 64 to 903 of the family's 1533-position model. The record is from RNAcentral.
UAACGCGGAAAGCUUGCUUUCCGGCGACGAGUGGCGGACGGGUGAGUAAUGCAUAGGAAUCUGCCCUAUGGAGGGGGAUAACGCAGGGAAACUUGCGCUAAUACCGCAUAAGACCUUUGGGAGAAAGAGGGCGUAAGCUCUCGCCAUUGGAUGAGCCUAUGUUGGAUUAGCUAGUUGGUGGGGUAAAGGCCUACCAAGGCGACGAUCUAUAGCUGGUUUGAGAGGAUGAUCAGCCACAUUGGGACUGAGACACGGCCCAAACUCCUACGGGAGGCAGCAGUGGGGAAUAUUGGACAAUGGGGGCAACCCUGAUCCAGCAAUGCCGCGUGUGUGAAGAAGGCCUUCGGGUUGUAAAGCACUUUCGGUAGUGAAGAAGAUUCGCUGGUUAACAGCCAGCGAAGUGACAUUAGCUACAGAAGAAGCACCGGCUAACUCCGUGCCAGCAGCCGCGGUAAUACGGGGGGUGCGAGCGUUAUUCGGAAUGACUGGGCGUAAAGGGCGCGUAGGCGGAGAUUCAAGUCAGAUGUGAAAGCCCCGGGCUUAACCUGGGAACGGCAUUUGGAACUGAAUUUCUGGAGUAUGUCAGAGGAAGGCGGAAUUUCCAGUGUAGCAGUGAAAUGCGUAGAGAUUGGAAGGAACACCGAUGGCGAAGGCAGCCUUCUGGGGCAAUACUGACGCUGAGGCGCGAAAGCGUGGGGAGCGAACAGGAUUAGAUACCCUGGUAGUCCACGCCCUAAACGAUGUCAACUAGGUGUUGGGUACGAAUGUACUCGGUGCUGCAGCUAACGCGUUAAGUUGACCGCCUGGGGAGUACGGCCGCAAGGUUGAAACUCA